UGUCAGAAGUGGGAUUUGAACCCACGUCAGAGAACUCACAACUCCCUCUAUGGGAUAAAUCCGGUGCCUUUGACCACUCAGCCAUCCUGAC
Non-coding RNA from Cordylochernes scorpioides, 91 nucleotides. The record is from the annotation of a GenBank genome assembly. Lineage: Eukaryota; Metazoa; Arthropoda; Arachnida; Pseudoscorpiones; Chernetidae.